RNAcentral lists this long non-coding RNA (452 nucleotides) under Brassica napus (rape). RNAcentral describes it as "long non-coding RNA (BNAP_LNC003117)". The record is from RNAcentral. Lineage: Eukaryota; Viridiplantae; Streptophyta; Magnoliopsida; Brassicales; Brassicaceae.
AUAUGCGGAUAUUAAUAUUAUGAUUAGUUUAAUUUUACAUGGUUAGUUAAUUUUUACAUACAAUGACAUGUAUAUGCAUAAUAUAUAUUAUAUGUAUAAUAAUCACAUAGUUAUGAUUCAUUAUUUGUGGUUGAAAACUAUAAAUCUUCUUGACAUUAUUUAAUUCAAGAUAUAAUACAAUCUACUUUGCUGUUAGUUUUUAUUUUUUAUUGUAAAAUAUACAAAUCACAUUCAUUAAUUUUUAAACGCUAAACUCUUGGUAAACCUUAAACCCUUGAGUAUACUCCAACCCUUUGGCUUUACCGGAUAAAUCAUAAACAAUAAACUCAAAACUUUUGGAUAUACUGUAAACACUAAUCUCUCUCUCUCCCUCUCUCUCCCUCUCUCCUCUCUCUCCCUCUCUCCCACUCUCUCUCCCCUCUCCUCCUCCCUCCUCCCUCCCUCUCUCUCUC